GACGAACGCUGGCGGCGUGCUUAACGCAUGCAAGUCGAACGGUAAGGCCCUUCGGGGUACACGAGUGGCGAACGGGUGAGUAACACGUGGGUGAUCUGCCCCUUUCUCUGGGAUAACGCUCCGAAAGGAGUGCUAAUACCGGAUACUCACAUCGAGGCACAUGCCUUGAUGGGGAAAGGUUUUCGGAAAGGGAUGGAGUCGCGGCCUAUCAGCUUGUUGGUGAGGUAACGGCUAACCAAGGCGACGACGGGUAGCCGGCCUGAGAGGGCGACCGGCCACACUGGGACGAAGACACGGCCCAGACUCCUACGGGAGGCAGCAGUGGGGAAUAUUGCACAAUGGGCGCAAGCCUGAUGCAGCGACGCCGCGUGAGGGAUGAAGGUCUUCGGAUUGUAAACCUCUUUCAGUAGGGACGAAGCGAAAGUGACGGUACCUAAAGAAGAAGCACCGGCUAACUACGUGCCAGCCGCCGCAGUAA
This 478-nucleotide ribosomal RNA is filed under the name uncultured bacterium. RNAcentral describes it as "partial 16S ribosomal RNA". It matches the Rfam family "Bacterial small subunit ribosomal RNA", at positions 28 to 523 of the family's 1533-position model. The record is from RNAcentral.